RNAcentral lists this unclassified non-coding RNA (212 nucleotides) under Hevea brasiliensis (rubber tree). The record is from RNAcentral. Lineage: Eukaryota; Viridiplantae; Streptophyta; Magnoliopsida; Malpighiales; Euphorbiaceae.
GGAUGUUAACUUCUCAUUUCUUGCCUUACCUUUAGAUAGGGGAUGGUUUCCUCCACUUAACCGAGGGGCGGCUUUCGUCUCCUAUUUUAGUGCAUUGUACAGUUUUGAUUUGGGGAUUGGUUUGCUAAUCUGCUUACUUUUGGGCUUAAAUUUGAGGGUUCCAAUGGCAGACCACAAAAUCAUUUUAGUUUGUUUCUGGGGUUCUUCCCUUU